This 246-nucleotide long non-coding RNA is filed under the name Capsicum annuum. Its description in RNAcentral is "long non-coding RNA (CANN_LNC003123)". The record is from RNAcentral. Lineage: Eukaryota; Viridiplantae; Streptophyta; Magnoliopsida; Solanales; Solanaceae.
CUCCCAACACUUCCCACCAAAUCCUUCAUUCCACCAAAGCAACUCUAUUUCUGCCAAAUAUCCUACUAACCUACAAGAAAAUAACCCGCAACAAUUAGAAUCACAACAAACAAACCCAUUACCCUCCACCACUCUAUAUGUACCUUAAGCUCUACUUGCCCAAACUCAAUUUACCCAAGCUCCACAUACCCAAGAUAUCCCACUUGUCCAAACUACCCCAAUCGUCCAAAACCACCAAGAUCCCCC